Molecule: ribosomal RNA, 490 nt
Filed under: uncultured bacterium
Lineage: Bacteria
Description: partial 16S ribosomal RNA
Rfam family: Bacterial small subunit ribosomal RNA
Source: RNAcentral
AUUGAACGCUGGCGGCAGGCCUAACACGUGCAAGUCGAACGGUAACAGGAAACAGCUUGCUGUUUCGCUGACGAGUGGCGGACGGGUGAGUAAUGUCUGGGAAACUGCCUGAUGGAGGGGGAUAACUACUGGAAACGGUAGCUAAUACCGCAUAACGUCGCAAGACCAAAGAGGGGGACCUUCGGGCCUCUUGCCAUCGGAUGUGCCCAGAUGGGAUUAGCUAGUAGGUGGGGUAACGGCUCACCUAGGCGACGAUCCCUAGCUGGUCUGAGAGGAUGACCAGCCACACUGGAACUGAGACACGGUCCAGACUCCUACGGGAGGCAGCAGUGGGGAAUAUUGCACAAUGGGCGCAAGCCUGAUGCAGCCAUGCCGCGUGUAUGAAGAAGGCCUUCGGGUUGUAAAGUACUUUCAGCGGGGAGGAAGGGAGUAAAGUUAAUACCUUUACUCAUUGACGUUACCCGCAGAAGAAGCACCGGCUAACUCCGUG